UACGGAGGGUGCAAGCGUUAAUCGGAAUUACUGGGCGUAAAGCGCGCGUAGGCGGUCUAUUAAGUCAGAUGUGAAAGCCCUGGGCUUAACCUGGGAACUGCAUUUGAUACUGGUAGGCUAGAGUAUGGUAGAGGGAAGUGGAAUUCCGGGUGUAGCGGUGAAAUGCGUAGAUAUCCGGAGGAACAUCAGUGGCGAAGGCGACUUCCUGGACCAAUACUGACGCUGAGGUGCGAAAGCGUGGGUAGCAAACAGGAUUAGAUACCCUGGUAGUCCACGCCGUAAACGAUGUCAACUAGCCGUUGGGUCCAUUUAAGGGCUUAGUGGCGCAGCUAACGCGAUAAGUUGACCGCCUGGGGAGUACGGCCGCAAGGCUAAA
RNAcentral lists this ribosomal RNA (376 nucleotides) under uncultured bacterium. Its description in RNAcentral is "bacterial SSU rRNA". It matches the Rfam family "Bacterial small subunit ribosomal RNA", at positions 524 to 898 of the family's 1533-position model. The record is from RNAcentral.